Small nucleolar RNA from Cynara cardunculus var. scolymus (artichoke), 150 nucleotides. RefSeq annotates it as small nucleolar RNA snoR135. Lineage: Eukaryota; Viridiplantae; Streptophyta; Magnoliopsida; Asterales; Asteraceae. The transcript has a single exon. The record is from RefSeq and is a predicted model, not a curated record.
UAAGCAGGGAUAGUGUGUAUCGGCUUUGUGCGAAUAUUGUGCACUUAGUUCGAAAGAGUUCUCUGCCAUAACGAUUUGACAAGGGGAAGGUGGGCAGUUGUGUUCCAUUUUUAUCCAUUGGAAAGUUCAACAAUCAUCUUCCCUACAUUC